Molecule: ribosomal RNA, 207 nt
Filed under: uncultured bacterium
Lineage: Bacteria
Description: partial 16S ribosomal RNA
Rfam family: Bacterial small subunit ribosomal RNA
Source: RNAcentral
UGCGUAGGCGGCUUUCUAAGUCGGAUGUGAAAACUCUGGGCUCAACCCAGAGCCUGCAUCUGAAACUGGAGAGCUAGGGUUCUGGAGGGGAAAGCGGAAUUCCUGGUGUAGCGGUGAAAUGCGUAGAUAUCAGGAGGAACACCGGUGGCGAAGGCGGCUUUCUGGACAGAUACCGACGCUGAGGCACGAAAGGCUGGGGAGCAAACA